RNAcentral lists this small RNA (727 nucleotides) under Pongo abelii (Sumatran orangutan). RNAcentral's name for it is "retained intron". Lineage: Eukaryota; Metazoa; Chordata; Mammalia; Primates; Hominidae. The record is from RNAcentral.
GUGAUCUGCCUGCCUUGGCCUCCCAAGGUGCUGGGAUUACAGGUGUGAGCCACUGCACCCAGCCAAGAAUAGGCUUUGGAUUGGAGUUUAGGGUCAGCACAGCAUGGGUGUCACAAGCUUCCUCCUGUCCCCAGCUGUUCCGAUGGCCCCACUAUGGGGCUCCACUGGCUGGGGAGUGUCUGUCUGUGCAGGUGGUCAACUGCAGCCGUGUAUUCAGCCCUAGGCCUCUAGGGACCCUGGUGAUCUCCCUGCAGCAGCUACAGAAUGCUGGGCAUUUGGUGCUACGGGAAGCCCUAGUGGAUGAGAAUCUUCGAGUGUCCCCGAUCCAGGUGGAGCUUGACCUGAAGUACCAGCCCCCAGAGGGCGCUAUUGGAGCCUGGUCAGAGGAGGAGUUUGGGGCACCCAUCCAGGACAGCUUGGAGUUAAUCGUCCCCAAUGUGGGCUUCCAGGAACUGGAGCCUGGGGAGGCCCAGCUGGAGCGGCGGGCAGUGGCUCUAGGCUGCAGGCUAGCUCGAAGCCUAGGCCAGCAGGACGAUGAGGAGAAUGAGCUGGAGCUUGAGCUGGAGCAGGACCUGGAUGAUGAGCCUGACGUGGAACUUUCUGGUCUUAUGUUCAGCCCCCUCAAGAGCCGCACCAGGGCUCUGGCCCAUGGGGAUCCCUUCCAGGUGUCCAGAGCUCAAGACUUCCAGGUGGGAGUCACAGUGCUGGAAGCCCAGAAACUGGUUGG